RNAcentral lists this microRNA precursor (79 nucleotides) under Medicago truncatula (barrel medic). RNAcentral describes it as "MIR5269 microRNA precursor family". It matches the Rfam family "MIR5269 microRNA precursor family". The record is from Rfam by way of RNAcentral. Lineage: Eukaryota; Viridiplantae; Streptophyta; Magnoliopsida; Fabales; Fabaceae.
UUGGUUUAAAUCAUUAUGGAUUUACACGUUAAAAAUUGAACAUACAUAAAGUGGUGGGAUAUACAUUGAUUUUAUCCAA